CAUCCCUACCACACAGAGCCAGGGCUUCCACUGCCCACCAGUGUGGCCUGUGAGUUGUGGGGCCAGGGAACAGUGAGCAGUGUCCAUCCAGCAUCCACGUUUCCAGCCAUCCAGGGUGCCUCACUGCCUGCCCUGACCACACAGCCCAGCCCUCUGGUGAGCGGAGGUUUUCCACCGCCCGAGGAGGAGACACACAGUCAGCCAGUCAAUCCCCACAGCCUGCACCACCUGCAUGCUGCCUACCGUGUCGGAAUGCUGGCACUGGAGAUGCUGGGUCGCCGGGCACACAACGAUCACCCCAACAACUUCUCCCGCUCCCCCCCCUACACUGAUGAUGUCAAAUGGUUGCUGGGGCUGGCAGCAAAGCUGGGUAACACCUCCCCUCCCUAGACCAUUGCCCCCCCCCACCUGCUCUCCCCACCUUCCUUAUCCCAGACCUCCUUCCUAGCUCUUGCUCAGAGUUGAGGCCUUGGUCGGGUAUUGUGCGUGCGCGGGGGGCGGAGGGUUACCUCAGCUCCUGGGGUGGAGGGAGGCUCUCUGCCAGGCCAGAGCUGAGAUCUGUAAUUGGUCCCUAGGGCAGAGGUGGCCACCCCCGUCUCAUGCCCCUCCCCCUGCCCCCCAGGAGUGAACUACGUGCACCAGUUCUGUGUGGGGGCAGCCAAGGGGGUGCUGAGCCCGUUUGUGCUGCAGGAGAUCGUCAUGGAGACGCUGCAGCGGCUGAGUCCCGCUCAUGCCCACAACCACCUGCGUGCCCCGGCCUUCCACCAACUGGUGCAGCGCUGCCAGCAGGCAUACAUGCAGUACAUCCACCACCGCUUGAUUCACCUGACUCCUGCGGACUACGACGACUUUGUGAAUGCGAUCCGGAGCGCCCGCAGCGCCUUCUGCCUGACGCCCAUGGGCAUGAUGCAGUUCAAC
This 918-nucleotide small RNA is filed under the name Pongo abelii (Sumatran orangutan). RNAcentral's name for it is "processed transcript". Lineage: Eukaryota; Metazoa; Chordata; Mammalia; Primates; Hominidae. The record is from RNAcentral.